AUACUUAACCUGGCAGGGGAGAUACCAUGAUCACGAGGGUGGUUUUCCCAGGGCAAGGCUUAUCCAUUGCACUCCGGAUGUUCUGACCCCUGCGAUUUCUCCAAAUACCGGAAACUCAACUGCAUAUUUUGUGGUAGUGGGGGACUGCGUUCCCACUCUCCCCUG
RNAcentral lists this small nuclear RNA (165 nucleotides) under Mus spretus (western wild mouse). RNAcentral describes it as "snRNA (ENSMSPG00010007558.1)". It matches the Rfam family "U1 spliceosomal RNA". From Rfam's summary of the family: U1 is a small nuclear RNA (snRNA) component of the spliceosome (involved in pre-mRNA splicing). Its 5' end forms complementary base pairs with the 5' splice junction, thus defining the 5' donor site of an intron. Lineage: Eukaryota; Metazoa; Chordata; Mammalia; Rodentia; Muridae. The record is from RNAcentral.